GAAAUGCGAUAAGUAGUGUGAAUUGCAGAAUUCAGUGAAUCAUCGAAUCUUUGAACGCACAUUGCGCCCCUUGGUAUUCCAUGGGACAUGCCUGUUCGAGCGUCAUUUGUACCCUCAAGCUCUGCUUGGUGUUGGGUGUUUGUCCCGCCUCCGCGCGUGGACUCGCCCCAAAGUGAUUGGCAGCCGGCGUACUGGUCCCGGAGCGCAGCACAUGUCGCGCAAACGAGUGCCUUGGUACGGCGGCGUCCAUAAGCCCCUCUCUCACGCUCUUGACCUCGGAUCAGGUAGGGAUACCCGCUGAACUUAAGC
This 309-nucleotide unclassified non-coding RNA is filed under the name plant metagenome. Its description in RNAcentral is "partial contains 5.8S ribosomal RNA, internal transcribed spacer 2, and large subunit ribosomal RNA". The stretch from base 1 to 105 matches the Rfam family "5.8S ribosomal RNA", at positions 50 to 154 of the family's 154-position model. The record is from RNAcentral.